Oryza glaberrima (African rice) is the source of this 209-nucleotide non-coding RNA. The record is from Rfam. NCBI's taxonomy places the organism in Eukaryota, Viridiplantae, Streptophyta, Magnoliopsida, Poales, Poaceae.
AAUAAGUGUAGUUUUGCACUAUUCACGUUCAACGUUUGACCGUCCGUCUUAUUUGAAAAUCUUUCAUGAUUAGUAUUUUUAUUGCUAUUAGAUGAUAAAACAUGAAUAAUACUUUAUGUGUGACUAAAUGUUUUUGAUUUUUUCAUAAAUUUUUCAAAUAAGACAGACGGUCAAACAUUGAACGUGAAUAGUGCAAAACUGCACUUAUU